GUAGGUGGCAAGCGUUGUCCGGAAUUAUUGGGCGUAAAGCGCGCGCAGGCGGGUUUUUAAGUCUGAUGUGAAAGCCCACGGGCUCAACCGUGGAGGGUCAUUGGAAACUGGAGAACUUGAGUACAGAAGAGGAAAGCGGAAUUCCACGUGUAGCGGUGAAAUGCGUAGAGAUGUGGAGGAACACCAGUGGCGAAGGCGGCUUUCUGGUCUGUAACUGACGCUGAGGCGCGAAAGCGUGGGGAGCAAACAGGAUUAGAUACCCUGGUAGUCCACGCCGUAAACGAUGAGUGCUAAGUGUUAGGGGGUUUCCGCCCCUUAGUGCUGCAGCUAACGCAUUAAGCACUCCGCCUGGGGAGUACGGCCGCAAAGGCUG
Molecule: ribosomal RNA, 373 nt
Filed under: uncultured organism
Description: partial 16S ribosomal RNA
Rfam family: Bacterial small subunit ribosomal RNA
Source: RNAcentral